Molecule: ribosomal RNA, 425 nt
Filed under: uncultured bacterium
Lineage: Bacteria
Description: partial 16S ribosomal RNA
Rfam family: Bacterial small subunit ribosomal RNA
Source: RNAcentral
GUGGGGAAUAUUGGACAAUGGGCGCAAGCCUGAUCCAGCCAUGCCGCGUGAGUGAUGAAGGCCCUAGGGUUGUAAAGCUCUUUCACCGGUGAAGAUAAUGACGGUAACCGGAGAAGAAGCCCCGGCUAACUUCGUGCCAGCAGCCGCGGUAAUACGAAGGGGGCUAGCGUUGUUCGGAAUUACUGGGCGUAAAGCGCACGUAGGCGGACAUUUAAGUCAGGGGUGAAAUCCCAGAGCUCAACUCUGGAACUGCCUUUGAUACUGGGUGUCUUGAGGAUGGAAGAGGUAAGUGGAAUUCCGAGUGUAGAGGUGAAAUUCGUAGAUAUUCGGAGGAACACCAGUGGCGAAGGCGGCUUACUGGUCCAUUACUGACGCUGAGGUGCGAAAGCGUGGGGAGCAAACAGGAUUAGAAACCCUUGUAGUCC